AAGGGCAAACCGAAGAGUUUACUCUUCGGGGUUGUAGGACUGCAAUGUGGACUCAAAGAUUAUAGAAGAAUGAUUUGGGAAGAUCAGCCAAAGAGAGUAAUAGCCUCGUAUUUAAAAUAGUCUUUGUACUUAGCAGUAUCCUGAGUACGGCGGGACACGUGAAAUCCCGUCGGAAUCUGGGAGGACCAUCUCCCAACCCUAAAUACUCCCUAGUGACCGAUAGUGAACCAGUACCGUGAGGGAAAGGUGAAAAGCACCCCGGGAGGGGAGUGAAAUAGAACCUGAAACCGUGUG
This 294-nucleotide ribosomal RNA is filed under the name Klebsiella pneumoniae. RNAcentral's name for it is "partial 23S ribosomal RNA". It matches the Rfam family "Bacterial large subunit ribosomal RNA", at positions 264 to 562 of the family's 2925-position model. The record is from RNAcentral. Lineage: Bacteria; Pseudomonadati; Pseudomonadota; Gammaproteobacteria; Enterobacterales; Enterobacteriaceae.